ACUUUUUGACAUUCCAAAUCACAUUGUCGUCUUUUCAAUUAACAUAAUAUAUUGCCUACUUUGAAUUUCUAUAGCAGAUAUUAUGUCACACCAUUUGGUGAAGCUUUGGUAGAACGGUAGCACUACCAUUUCAAUUUUUAUUUUUGAAAUUCAAAAUCAUCAAAAUCUCUCUCUUUUGGAUUUUAAAUUUUCAUUUAAUUACAAUGAAUUCUCGCCUCAAAUCCAGUGCCAAGAAGUCUAAAUUUGGAUCUUUUCUCUCUCUUUGCUCACAUGGAGUUUCUCCAUUUGUUUCUUUUUCUUGCUGCACAACGUCCCAACCAUUUUGGGUAUUAAUUUGAAACAAAUCUUCUCAAAGUCUCAAGCAAAUCUGAAACAAAUCUGCUCAAAUCUCGCUCAUUAAAUGAUGAACGACUAUUUUACCGUUCGAAACCCCACGCUCUUAAUUUCAAACGUUAGAGGUAAAAAUCCCGCCCAUGAACCCUACUUCUUCACCUAUAAAUACUUGCAUUUGAAAUAUAUUGGAAAAAGAGCUUUUGGAGCCGUUGCACCUCUCUUUAAACCCACAAGCUUCGGACCCCUUCUUUAACCUUAAGCCCUAGAGCUGCCCACUUUCACCUUAAAGUCGAGAGUUUUCAGCCACCUCUGUUAAUGCAUUUCCUUUCCUCUAAUUAAAAAACAAAGUUCUCUAGCUCUCUUUGUAUUUUUAGCCAUUACAAUGGUUUAUUUGCUUAUUCUGGUAACUAACAAUCGUCUAAGGUAGGGAGUUCGAGGUCGGAGUUCGAUAUUGCAUCUAAGACCCUUCUCAGUUCGCUGUCCUGCAAAGGGUCCGUAUCUUCUCCUAUCACUCUCAUUUUGAUUCUGAUUUUUUGAUGUCUGAUGCGUGUUUGUUGCGAGGAUUGUAAGCUUCUAUUAAGCUUUUAUGUACAUGUUUGUUUAAGGGAAUAAUCUCUGACUAAAGUUGUUAGCAGUAAUCCUGUAAGGAGAUUAUGUUCUGGUGUGUAUUAUUAAAAGUAUGCCAGACAUAUAUUUGAUGAAUUGCUCACAUGAAAAUACUUAUUUCCUUUUGCAUACUUCUCUAUUAGAUUCCAUAAUUUUAAGAAGGAUUUUAUCAUGAGCUAGUUGCCCUGCAAAAGAUUUAUUUGCCAUUGUGAUUCAAGACCUUUUUCCUAAAUAUCGUGCUUAAAAUUUUAAAUAAUUUUAUUAAGAAUCAAUUUAUUUAAAUGCACACUGUUAAGUGAAGACUUGAUUUACUUUAGUAUUAGGUAUCCAAAAUUCAUUCUUUAGGAAACUUGUCACGACCCAGAUUUUCCCACCUUCGGGAGUCGUGAUGGCGCCUACUAACGAGAACUAGGCAAGUCAACCCUUUACUACCUUUGUCAUUAACAAAUUGCUUCUUUUAACAAUUAUCAGUGAUAGCAUAGAAACAACAAAAUUAAAUAAAUAAGCGGAAGACCUAAAUUAAAUAAGCUGAACAAUAAUGCGAAAGUCAACAUAUGCCUCUACCCAAGAACUGGUGUCACAUCACUCACGAACUACUAAGAGUACUAAAUACAACCGUUCGAAAGAAAUAUAACACUGUUUGUCUCGAAUACAUGGAGAUAACAGAAUGAAAUAUAAGAUAGAGGAGACGUCGGGCCUGCAGAGGCUUGCAAGGCUACCUCGGUGUCUCGGUGGACUGAAGGCUGGCUCCCGUGCUACUGCUGCUGUCCAAUACCUGGAUCUGUGCAAAAAAGCACAGAGUGUAGUAUCAGCACAACCGACCCCAUGUGCUGGCAAGUACCUAGACUAACCUCGGCGAAGUAGUGACGAGGCUAGGAUCAAACUACCAAAUAACCUGUGCAGUUCAAAUAUCUAUAUGUACAUCGGAAAAGAAAUACAUGAAAUAAUCAGUCAAUGUGGGAAGGGAAAAACAUGUUGUGGGGAGGUAACAAUUCCAAAUAGAAAACCUCAAUAAAAGAAAGAAACAACAAAGCCAGAAUAUCUACAAGAAUCAAAAUUCAAUGAUUUGCGCGGCAUCACCUUUCGUGUUUUUACUCUUGUCCUCACCCAAACAAUAUUUAUAAUAAAAAUGUGCACGACAUCACCCUUCGUGCUUUUACUCUCGUUCUCACCAAAUCAAUCGUAUCAUAAUAAUGUGCACGACAUCACCCUUCGUGCUUUUACUCUCUUUCCUCGCCACAUAGUCAAUAAAUAUCGGUACGGAAUGGUACAUCGUAUGGCACAACAUCACCCUUCGUGCUUUACACUCUUUCCACAUAAUAGCAAACAAUGCACGACAUCACCCUUCAUGCUUUAACACUCUUCCUCACCGAAACAACAAUAAAAAACAAAGGGGCAAGGGAGUAGACAAAUAAUGGUAGAAAUCCCGGCAAGGGAAUACAAUUAAAAAGCUAAAUCCAGACAAGGGAACUAUAUCAAUAAAUCUCAACAUCUCGGCAAGGGAGAUAAUCAACAAAGCAACAAACAUCCCAGCAAGGGAACAAUUCAAUAAUUUUCUCUUUCUUUCACUUCUUACUUUAUAACUCACUUUACCACUUGAGUCAAUGCUACAAAGGAUUCAAUUAUCUCAUAUACUUUCACAAUUCGUAUUAUAACUCGAGUCAAUGCUCCUCGAAGUUCAAAGAUCACAAUUUCUUUCACAUUAUUUUUACAACAUAUAGAAAUCAUCAUUUAGGGCAUGAAAGAUACAACAAAAAUCAGAAUAUCCGCAAUAUAAAGACCCACGGUCAUGCUAGACACCAACGUAUAGAUACUCGUCACCAUGCCUAUACGUCGUACUCGACAAUUAGAACGUAGAAAAUAAGACUCAACUCCUAAUCCCUCAAGCUAAGGUUAGACCAAACACUUAGCUCAAACUUCCACGGCCAAAUCAAUCCUCAAUUACCGCUUUUCCUCUCGAAUUUGGCUCCAAAUCGAUUGUAUCCACGAGUUAUUGGUGAAAAGAUGCUUCAAAAGUCGCCCUAGAACUUUGGAGAAGAAGGAGUUUGUGAAGUUUUUUGAAAAUCCCGUAAUGGUUUUGUUUUGGGGUUUUAAAAUAACUGGGCAAAAUUGCCUUCACGUUCGCGAUGGACAGCUCGCGUUCGCGAUGGUCCAGGUCUGAAGACCUUCGCGUUCGCGGAGAGUAAUCUCCUCGAGCCUCGCGCUCGGGUGCCAUGAGCCGCGUUCGCGUUGAAAAAAUUUGGUGGCCCUUCCCCCUGUACCCUACGCGUUUGCGAGAGAAGGGACGCAUUCGCGAAGGGUCUACCCCCCUCAGCUUUGCAUUCGCAUCACCAACUUCGCGUUUGCGGAGAAGAAAAUGAACUUCUGAGAAUUUUGCCUUACGCGUUCGCGAGUGAGUCCACGCGAACGCGAAGAACAAAUUCCCUGUGCACAACAUCAGAAAAUCUGCAACACCACUAAGGCCAAAAAUCACUCCGAAACACUCCCGAGCCCUCGGGGCUCCUAACCAAAUACACGUACUAACUCAACAACAUCAUACGAACUUAUCCAUACGAUCAAAUUGCGAAACUAACCUCAAAAAUAAUGAAUCAAACCUCAAAAUUAAGAGUUUUUCCAAAAACUUCAUCAAGUUCAAAUUUAAGAUUUCAAGUCCGAAACACAUCAAACGACGUCCGAUUUUAACCAAACUUUACAGAAACAUCUUAAAUCAUAUAUAAGACCUAUAUCGGACGCUAGAAUCAAAAUACGGGUCCGAUACCAACACAUUCUAAUCAAAUUUCAUUUCAGUUUUCCUUAACAAUUUCAGAAAAACAAUUUCCUUUAAAAAAUUCACUUCUCGGGCUCGGGACCUCGGAAUUCGAUUCCGGGCAUACGUUCGAGUCCUAUAUUUUCCUACGGAUCCUCUAGGACCGUCAAAUCACGAGUCUGGGUCCAUUUACCCAAAAUGUUGACCGAAGUUAAAUUUAUUCAUUUUAAACUCAAAACUUAGCAUUUUCACAGAAUUUCAUAUUUAAGCUUUUCGGCUACGCGUCCGGACUGCGCAUACAAAUUGAGGCGACUCUAAAUGAGGUUUUCAAGGCCUCGGAAGCACAGAAUGGAUAAGAAAACAGUUGAUGACCCUUUUGGUCGUCACGGAAACAUAGUUAUAGAACUUUUGUGCCUAUUUCUUUGUGCUGGUUAGUAUUUGGAAUUAAAAGUGUAGAUGACUUUGUUAAGAUAAAAUUUACGUCUUGAUGAAAUAUGUUCAUGUUGUUGUGUGAUUAUCAAUGGAAGUUUAUAUUUUAGUCAUUUGAGAGUUUUUGCUACUAGUCUAAAUAAAUAGCUGGAAAUAUUAUCUUUCCUAUAGUUGUGUGUUUGUCUGAUGACAAGAAGUAUGGCUGGAAUUUCAAAAAAUAAUUUGACACUAGGACGUCUUUGCAUAUUUUAAUCUUGAUAUAUUGUUUAGAAUCAAGUUCCACUCUCUAAUCCUUCUUAUCCUUGCAUAUGUUAAUUGAACUCUUAUGUUAUUUUGCUAAUUGUUUAUUUCUCUCUUCCUUUAUAUGUACACUUUGGAGCAUAAUGGAGUCUUAAUGCUAGACUCCAAUACCCGCAUAUGGAGUCCUCGGGACUCGUAAAGAUGGAGUCUAAUCACCACCAGAUAGAGUUAAUACACGACACAUAUCCUUAGAAUGUAAAGGAAAACAAGCGAAACGCUUGGGGGUGCCUAUGGCGUCCUUCUUUUUGUUCCUAUAACUUAUUUUAUCUUAAGUUUUGUAAUUGCCGAUUUACUUUUUUUGUGUUUUCUUAAUUUUUAAAAUUUUAUGUUGGAGCCUAUUAUUAACAUAGAAGAAAUAGCUGAGUCUUAUUUAAUNNNNNNNNNNNNNNNNNNNNNNNNNNNNNNNNNNNNNNNNNNNNNNNNNNNNNNNNNNNNNNNNNNNNNNNNNNNNNNNNNNNNNNNNNNNNNNNNNNNNNNNNNNNNNNNNNNNNNNNNNNNNNNAACCUAAGUUUGGCCGGUUAAUCGUAAUUAACGUAUCAUAUAGGGUGAUUUAACAACCUUCCCUAUAGGAUUAACUAGAACCCUUACCUAGAAUUUUUAAGGUUAAGCAGACCGAAAAAACAGAGUUAAUUUUAAGCAUUACUUAGCUAUAAUAGGUGUCCUAAUUCACCUUUAAAAUAAUUAGGUGGCGACUCUCUUUAAUUAAUUAAACCUCAAUUACCAAUAUGUUAUACUCUAAUUUGACCUGUGCUAAAUGGGGUAUAACAGCAUGACGACUCUGCUGGGAUGCUAGGUUCUAAACCUUAACAAACUUAGGUUAAUAAUAAAAAUUGAUUUGUGUGUUUUUAUGAUGCUUAUUUGCCUUUAUAUGAUAAACUGUUUUUUAUGAAUUGUUUAUCUGUUCUUAUUGCUUUAUAUAAAUUGUCAUUCCGUUUCACUUUCUCCACUUCUGGAAAAUUCACACAAAGCACACACCUAUCGGUUAUGUGGUUUGCAGCCGUGCACUAUUUAAAACACCUUUUAGGGGAAAGUUCGUGGGUAAGUCGAUCAGCAGUGCAAUCGAUAGCCAUGGGCAUUCCACUCUCGAGUUGUCCGCUUGGGAGAUGACCAGUCUAGCAAAACCCAUUCUUAGUCAGCCUAAGAUAGAGCUAAACCGAAACCCUUUUAAGAGCAUGCAUCAUUUGAACCUUAGGUGAUUUAAUACUCGAAAUGUAUUAAAUCCAUUAGUUAACCUUACCUAAAUGUCCAAGUGGGUUUAAACCCCCAAGUGACACUUUAUCACGUGUAUGUGCACUAUUUGAAGGGUUAACAUGCUAAUUAUGUGGACCAUUUUCUCUAAAUUAAUUAAAUCUUAGGUAAAGGAGCAUAGUCAUUAUUUCUAUGAUAUGUAUUAAAAUUUUCAAAUGACAUAAUCAGUGAGAAGUUUUGACAUAGAUGGAAAUAUAUACUUUCUUUUGAUCUUUUAUUACAAAAAAAAGGUUUAAUCAAUCAUACUUUACUAUUAUACUUUAUUUUCUUUUGAAACAUAGACUUAUUCAAUUAAUUUACAUCAAUGAGAUGAUACAUAAUGACAUAUUUAUCUUUCAAAUAUACGUUAGGCCUACCUCUGGCACAAAGAGGCCUCCCCACGUAUUAGAACGCGCUAUUAUUUGCUUUGGAAUGUGUCACAUGCUUUGCUUGCCUACUUUCUUACUUGUUUACUCUUUGUGUUGCUUGCUAGACUUUAUUAUUUUUACUAACAUUAUUUGUUGUUUUUUCAGAAAAAGGAAGUAUUAACUAUCCAACUUGUUUACAUCUUUAUUUAAAUAUAUAUUUUGUUUGUUCAUAUAUAUAUAUAUAUAUAUUCUUCUGCUUAUUUUAUAUUAUCUUCCUGAAAUUGUCUCGCUUAGCUUUUUAACAACUCUUGAGCACCAUUUAGGUAUUUACUUAAGUUCAAAUUUCUCUUAGGCCCAUUUCAUUUCCUAGAGUCUAAUUAAUAUAUCUUUUUAGUCUUUGGACAAUCUUCUAUUAUUUAUAACUCAUGACAUUUUGCCCGCAAAUUCUCUUCAACAAGCUCGGUUUGCAUGAAAUUCCUCGAUAUUCGUGCCUUAAACUAGCCUUAAGAAUUUUCUUUACAAUGAGCAUCUUACUCCCUAUAGAAAGAUAUCAUCCCUACUUCUUUUAAAAAAAAACUCGCGUAAUAUUUCAUAAUUAGAAUUUUUUUUUUCCAUCUAAUCCGUGAGUUAAUUUUAUUCGCAUUCUUUUCUUAAAAAAUAGUUACAUAUUUUUCAAAUAUUGCCACUCGUGCCUCACAGAAUAUUCAUACCUUUGAUUCUUCUCGUAGCUCUAUGUUUCAUAAAAUCUACUUACUAUUCUACAUGUUUCAACCUUUGUGCCAAUUCUCAUUUACAAAUUGGUAGAUGUCCAAACUUGCGCAAUCCACCGAACAAUAGAAGGCCACUAUUUUGGUCAAUUUGCAUCGUCAAAUUAUUCUAAAGUUUUUUACCUAUUCAAUUCAAGUUUUUGUAUCGUCUUAUUUUAGAUCGUCGAGAUUAAUCUUCACGCACCUGUUAAUUCCAAGUUUUGGCACUUGAGUCGAAGUGCUAUCCCAUAAGUCUCAAAUUGGUUGAUACCAUAUUUUAGGCCUCGACAACUUUAUGAUUUGCCAAUGCUAAAAAUAAAUUUAGAAUCAUUUCAUGUCCAAGUCUAGAUAACAAGUCAUUCUCGUCCAUCUAUUUUGCAACAUAGGCCAUCGUAUCUAGUUUAAGGCUCAUACUUAACCAUAACAUGGAUUAAUCUAUAUAAUCAUAUAUUCUAUUAUUUUUACACUUUUAUUUCAUUAUGAUGAAUACGCUAACACUUUAUUUUUGUUCGUAAGGUUUCAAUUUUUUAAAGGCUGCCUAGCACUGAACACUGUUUUGGCUACGAAUCUGCAUAAAGGACAAAACUAUAAUGGUAGACAGAUUUGAAGCAUUCAGUAUUGGUAUGAGAUCGUUGCAAGCAGAAGAUGAAGAUACCGAGGCAAAUGUGGUACGAAGAAACCUGUUGGUUAAUCUGGGAAGAACUUUCAACCUUCUUCCAAAUGCAACUUCUGCUUCUAGCUCAAACCGAAAUAUUUUCUUAACCAUAUCUCCUUGCCCAGCUCAUACUUAUGCAAUCUCUAAAUAAGUUCCAUUAACCUGCAACCCCAAUCAAGUCAUGAUAAUGCCUCCCAAAACCACAACUCCAUUUGAAGGAAGCAAGCAAAACCAACUAGUAGUAUGCCCUCAUAAGAGACGUGGAAAAGAAAUCGAGCAAAUUUGCCGUAUAGAUUUGGAUAAAGAACUUCGUGAUUUAAAUAAAGCCAUUGGAGAAGAAUUGCAAUCAAGAAAUUACCAACGUCUAUGAUAUGAAGAAUUAUGCCUGCAACCAGAUACAGAACUCCCACCAGGGUACCAGAUGCCAAAGUUUAAUACUUUCAACGGGAAGGGAAAUCCCAUCACUCAUUUAAAGGAUUAUUGUAGAAGGUUACUUGGUAUUGGGCACAAUGAGGCCAUUCGAAUGAAGUUAUUCAUCCAAAGCUUAUCAAGACCUGCACUUAUUUGGUACACAAAACAAAAUUUUAGCAAAUGGCACACGUGGGAUGAUAUGGCUCACGAUUUGUAAAGCAAUAUGAGUUCAACCUUGGAAUCUAUAUAGACAUGCAUAGCCUGUACAAAAUAGAGAAAAUGCCACGUGAAUUUUUUCAGGAUUACGCAAUCUGGUGGAGAGUUGAAGCUUCAAAAGUGCACCCUCCACUAUCCGAGAAAGAAUUAAUUUCAAUCUUCAUUGACAUUCAAAAUGACAUAUAUUAUGAAAAGCUGGCUACUGCGAACGUACGUAAUUUCUCAUACUUGAUUAGAGUCGGGGACUUCCUUGAAAGCCGCAUCAAAGAAGGAAAGGUUAGCAUGCAAACUAUCAAUCAUGCUUUAAAACUAGAGAUGCUAGAAAGCUGGAAAGGUAAAGAGAAGGAAAAUGCCUCAGUUACCAUGACUAUGCAUCAACCACAAUGCCAUCAUGAUCACCAGCUCUUGCAAAAUUAUGCCAUCUCUAAUGCCCGUAACAUGCAUCUCCAGCCUCCUCGCCAACAAAGCAUUCACCAUCAACAUCAUCAAGCACAAGUCGCUUCUCACCAAUCCAAGAAAAGGAAGCCCCGUGACUUCACACCUCUGAGUGAACCAAUCUCUAGCAUAUUCUCUCGAUUGAAUGCCUCAAGAAUUAUGCAACCAAUAAAAUUAAGGAUUUUGACCCUUUUCAUCCAUUAUUCGACCCGUCAAAGUAUUGUGCUUAUUAUUCAAAUGCUCAAAGUCAUGAUACAGAAGAAUGCCUAGCAUUAAAACAUAAGAUUCAGAAUUUAAUUGAUGCUAACAAACUGCGAGUGCACCUACCAGUUGGAACAAAUAUCUCAAAUGCAAUUAGCAGCAGCACAAGCAAUACACCGAGCGUGGUUGGGCAUCCGAAGAAAAAACGUCGUUUGGACUAGUUCACCUUGCAUUGCUGGCAUUAUCAUUUUGUAACUAUCAUAAUAUGAGUAGCUAUUUUUUUAAUCAUGCCUUGCUUUUGUAAUGAAUUACGUUUUAACCUGAUUCUCAUUUAAGAGGGGAUACGUAGACAGCCUUAUGGGUUCGGUCUCAUCAUAAUAAAAAUCCUAUUUACCCCAAAAGCCAAAAUCGGAGCAGAUGUUGCAGAAGGAUCCUCAUCAUUCGGCAAAGAAGAAAAUGAAAUCUCGAGCUACAUAUUUAUUACAAGUGCAACAGCAAAUUCCAGAAUGCCAUAGCAACAAGUUGCAGAUUCAAAGCCAAACUUUAACGUUCAAUGCAAGGCAACCACUUUAUUUUAUACUAACGAAUUUGCUUUGAGUAAUGCAGGGGCAUUUUUUAGCUAUUAUCAAACAUUACAUACUAUCGCAAAGCUCAUCAUCAAGUCAAAAGUCGCAAAGUUCAUGCAAAGCAAAGGAUGAAGCCAAGCAAGCGCAAAUCAAACUUUGAAACUUAUAAAUUUUCUUUGAGUGUAGGAAUUUAUUAAUUGCAAAGCUUCAGUAUGAAGAUCCAACGAUUGUUAGCAAUGCACCAGGAAUAUUCACUACUACAAAGGCAUUUCAUCAAGCUCUCUGCAUCGUACCAUUUGCUAUUACAAAAUCAUUGCACAAAGCUCUUUGCAUUGCACCGUCAGUAUAUGUUACUUCGAAGUAACCAUGCCAAGCUCUUUGCACGACAUUAUACAGUUACAAAUCAAGCAUCGCACCAAGCUUCUGCACCGCACUAAUGUAAAUCAAGCGCCAUGCAUCUAGGUUUUUCUACCUAAUAAUAGGACAUGAGGUCGUCCGCCUGAUUAAUAGGACAUGAGGUCGUCCGCCUGAUAAUAGGACAUGAGGUAGUCCGCCUGAUUAAUAGGACAUAAGGUAGUCCGCCUGAUAAUAGGACAUGAGGUAGUCCACCUGAUUAAUAGGAUAUUAGGUCGUCCGCCUGAUAAUAAGACAUGAGGUAGUCCGCCUGAUAAUAGGACAUGAGGUAGUCCGCCUGAUAAUAAGACAUGAGGUAGUCCGCCUGAUAAUAGGACAUGAGGUAGUCCGCAUGAUUAUAGGACAUGAGGUAGUCCACCUGAUAAUAGGAUAUUAAGGUUGUCCGCCUCAACAACAGGACACUUUAGCAUAUAUUCACAUGCUUCUCAUUAAUUUAUUUCAACCUAGAUGGUCAUGUUGUCAUUACUGAAAUGCGUUAUUAUUAUAAAUCAUUGCAAAGCACAUUUAUAAACUGCAUGUUAUUGUUGAAAAUCAUCAUUGGCAUAAAGUUAUUUUUAUCAAAUCAUUUUGGCCGACUAGGCCGCAUUGUAUAAGUAAACUCCCAAAAGGUAUCAUUUUCAUAAGAUUAUUUUACAGCACAUUGCAUUUCAAUAUCUUCUGACGAAUUUGCCUUGAAGAAAAUAUGGUGCAACAUGGCGAUCAAGAAAAGUUAUCGCAAAUUAUGUUUUGAAACUCAUAAUUUUAUUUGAGUGCAGGAAUUUACUAAUAAUAAACUUCAACAUGCAGAUUUCUAAUUUAUUGGCACCGCUCUUUAAAUAUUUUCUUCUGUAAAGGCACUGCAUCAAGCUCUCCGCACCAAGGAUAUUCGCUACUGCAUCAAGCUCUUUGCAUCGCACCCUGAAUAUUGUUAUUAUAAUUCUGGCACCUGAUCAAGCUUUAUGUACCAUAUCAAGCUCUUUGCACCGCAUCAUAUUAAUCUUUAUAAUUACAAAUCAAGCACUACAUGUCAGGCUUGUCCAUAUUCAAAUAUGACAUAUUGGGUUUAUCCGCCCACAAAUAGGAUAUAUCAGGUCCAUCCACCCUCAAAUAGGAUAUAUCGGGUCUAUCCACCCUCAAAUAGGAUAUAUCGGGUCUUUCGGCCUCAAAUAGGAUGUAUCAGGUCAAUCCUCCCUCAAAUAGGAUAUUGAAGUUAAUCCUUCCUCAAAAGGACUUUUAAUUUAUUUCGACCCGAGUGGUCCCGCUUGCAUAAGCAUUGCCAAAAUAUAUCUUUCAUAAAUCAUUUUCAAAUGCAUUUAUCUUUAUAAAUUAAUUUUCAUGUGCCGUUGCCGACCAUGAAAUAUGUCACCAUAAAAUUAUAUUUUUAUAUAUUUGCACAAUAAAUUCGCAUUUCUUACGAAUUGACGCCUAAAUAUUAUUUUCAUAAGAUUACUUUUUGGGCAUAUUGCAUCUUAUUUCCUAACGAAUUUUUUCAGCAUUGUUAAGCUUUGCAGGAAAUAUAGCGCAACGUGAAAUUAUAUCUUAGCAGUGAACUGGGACAAUUUGUUGGAGAGGAAUACCAAACUCUCCAACAAAGGUCAAGGAUCUACUUCGAACUCCGUUCGGCUCGACUGUCAAAAUUCAUAAUUAAAUUCUUAUUUCAAACAUCUUUCUUUCAAUCAUGGUACCCAAUAUCUCUAUUAUUCGACACUGGGGUAACAUUUUUAGAUCUACAUCAAUAGUCGAGUCCUACUCUAGGGUGCCAUAAGUCUUGAACUACAUAUGACCUAAUUCUCGUGAAACGCGAGAUAUGUAGGCAACUCGGAACCGAAGUUCGACCGCAAUCAUUUUUUUUACGUCUCCUUUGUCCCAUUCCAACCUUGAUGGUCGUAACAAAAUUGGCUACUAAGUCAAUAUUCUUUGCUCGAACACUCUUUGAUCGUCUCAGGUCAAAGAGGGGCAGAUGUUGACAUCCAAUUUUGUCCCUCCUUCCUUCCAAAUUAUUUCUUUAAGCUUCUAAUAUCACUAAUAAUAUAAGGUAGUUAUUCUACUAUAUUAUUUACACAAACUAUGCCUAUUUGUUAUUAUUAUUAAAACUAUUAUAGCUAUUAAUAAUAAUAAUAAUAAUAAUAAUAAUAAUAAUAAUAAUAAUAAUAAUAAUAAUAAUAAUAAUAAUAAUAAUAAUAAUAAUAAUAAUAAUAAUUCUAUAGCUAUCGUCUUUAUCAUUCAUACCUUAAUCGUAUUUAUUGUUACAUUUCACGAAAAGCAUUUUUAUUUCAUUUAUAUCACUAGUGAAAAUAUUUUUUGCAAUAACUUUUAAUUAUUAUGAAGUUAUAUUUAAUAAAUAUGGUAGUAUCUUACGAUUAAUAUUUUAUUUAAACAUGAGUAAUUGCGAAUAGGUAUAAUAAAUAAGUUAGUUAUUUUUUUUAUAAUAUUAUUGUUGACUAUUAGAAGCCCAAAGAAUUUGGAAGGAAGAAAGGAAAUUGGCCUAGUUAAUAGUCCAAUAUUUUCUACUAAUUCUACAGGACCAAAUUACUCCAAAUGAUCCACCAAUUCUAUCCAAUCUGCUGAAUGAUCAAAUGACCAACUCUUUGGUUCUAGAUUAUUUUUUUAGCGCAAAUUACUUUUGUACCCCUAUUCAGAUAUAGCCAAAAGAAUAGCCCCUCUCUCUUUUCACGUGUAAAGCUAUCUCUUUCCUCAUAAAAACUUUUUGACUUUCCAAAUCACAUUGCCGUCUUUUCAAUUAACAUUAUAUAUUGCCUACUUUGAAUUUCUAUUGCAGAUAUUAUGUCACACCAUUUGGUGAAGCUUCGGUAGAACGGUAGCACUACCGUUUCAAUUUUUUUUUGAAAUUCAAAAUCACUAAAGUAUAUCUCUUUUGGAUUUCAAAUUUUCAUUUAAUUACAAUGAAUUCUCGCCUCAAAUCUAGUGCCAAGAAGUCUAAAUUGGAAUCUUUUCUCUCUUUGCUCACAUGGAGUUUCUCCAUUUUUUCUUUUUCUUGCUGCACAACAUCCCAACCAUUUUGGGUAUUAAUUUGAAACAAAUCUGCUCAAAGUCUCAAGCAAAUCUGAAACAAAUUUACUCAAAUAUCGCUCAUUAAAUUAUGAACGUAUUUUACUGUUCGAAACCUCACGCUCUUAAUUUCAAACGUUAGAGGUAAAAAUCCCGCCCAUGAACCCUACUUCUUCACCUAUAAAUACUUGCAUUUGAAAUAUACUGGAAAAAGAGCUUUUGGAGCUGUUGCACCUCUCUUUAAACCCACAAGCUUCGGCCCCCUUCUUUAACCUUAAGCCCUAGAGCCGCCCACUUUCACCCUAAAGUCGAGAGUUUUCAGCCACCUCUGUUAGUGCAUUUCCUUUCCUCUAAUUAAAAAACAAAGUUCUCUAGCUCUCUUUGUAUUUUUAGCCAUUACAAUGGUUUAUUUGCUUAUUCCGGUGACUAACAAUCGUCUAAGGUAGCGAGUUCGAGGUCGGAGUUCGAUAUUGCAUCUAAGACCCGUCUCAGUUUGCUGUCUUGUAAAAGGUUCGUAUCUUCUCCUAUCACUCUCGUUUUGAUUCUGUUUUUUUGAUGUCUGAUGCGUGUUUGUUGCGAGGAUUGUUAGCUUCUAUUAAGCUUUUAUGUACAUGUUUGUUUAAGGGAAUGAUCUGUGACUAAAGUUGUUAGCAGUAAUCCUGUAAGGAGAUUAUGUUCUGGUGUGUAUUGUUAAAAGCAUGCCCGACAUAUAUUUGAUGAAAUGCUCACAUGAAAAUACUUUUUUCCUUUUGCAUACUUCUCUAUUAGAUGCCAUAAUUUUAAGAAGGAUUUUAUCAUGAGCUAGUUGCCCUGCAAUAGAUUUAUUUGCCAUUGUGAUUCAAGACCUUUUUCCUAAAUAUCGUGUUUAAAAUUUCAAAAAAUUUGUUUAAGAAUAGAUUUAUUUAAAUGCACACUGUUAAGAGAAGACUUGAUUUACUUUAGUAUUAGGUAUCCAAAAUUCUUUCUUUAGGAAACAUAGUUAUAGAACUUUUGUGCCUAUUUCUUUGUACUAGUUAGUAUUUGGAUUUAAAAAUGUCGAUGACUUUGUUAAAAUAAAAUUUACGUCUUGAUGAAAUGUGUUCAUGUUGCUGUGUGAUUAUCACUGGAAGUUUAUAUUUUUGUCAUUUGAGAGUUUUUGCUACUAGUCUAAAUAAAUAGCUGGAAAUAUUUAUCUUUCCUAUAGUUGUGUGUUUGUCUAAUGACAAGAAGUAUGGCUAGAAUUUCAUAAAACAAUUUGACACUAGGACGGCUUUGCAUAUUUUAUUCUUGAUAUAUUGUUAAGAAUCAAGUUCCACUCUCUAAUCCUUCUUAUCCUUGCAUAUGUUAAUUGAACUCGUACGUUAUUUUGCUAAUUUUUUAUUUCUCUCUUCCUUUACAAGUACACUUUGAAGCAUAAUGGAGUCUUAAUGCUAGACUCCAAUACCCGCAUAUGGAGUCUUCGAGACUCGUAAAGAUGGAGUCUCAUCACCACCAGAUAGAGUCAAUACACGACAUAUAUCCUUAGAAUGUACUGGAUAGCAGAAAAACAAGCGAAACGCUUGGGGGCGCCUAUGACGUCCUUCUUUUUGUUCCUACCACUUAUUUUAUCUUAAUAUUUGUAAUUUUCGAUUUGCUUUUUUUGUGUUUUCUUAAUUUUUAAAAUUUUAUGUUGGAGCCUAUUAUUAUUAUAUAAGAAAUAGCUGAGUUUUAUUUAAUCACUUAGUAUUCUCACCUUAUUUAUGAGUAUCGUACUUAUUUUAUCACUAGGAAUACCACGCCUAUUUUAAGGACUAUUUAAAAUAAUAGCUUAAUUAAUAACAUUUUACUAUACUAAUGUUUUCUUAUAAGGUACUUAAUUUUGGAGAUAGCAUCUUAAACCAGGGACGUUCUUGAAAUUCCACUCUUAUACUUUCUUUAACACCUAUAAGUUUAGAUUUAAAAACUUGUUAGCAGCAAAUGACUUCUUUGUAAAACUUGUUUUCGAAAGGUAAUUUCGACCGUUUUCCNNNNNNNNNNNNNNNNNNNNNNNNNNNNNNNNNNNNNNNNNNNNNNNNNNNNNNNNNNNNNNNNNNNNNNNNNNNNNNNNNNNNNNNNNNNNNNNNNNNNNNNNNNNNNNNNNNNNNNNNNNNNNNNNNNNNNNNNNNNNNNNNNNNNNNNNNNNNNNNNNNNNNNNNNNNNNNNNNNNNNNNNNNNNNNNNNNNNNNNNNNNNNNNNNNGGUGCUUUAACAACCUUCCCUAUAGGAUUAACUAGAACCCUUACCUAAAAUUUUUAAGGUUAAGCAGACCAUAAAAACAGAGUUAAUUUUAAGCAUUACUUAGCUAUAAUAGGUGUUCUAAUUCACCUUUAAAAUAAUUAGGUGGCGAUUCUCUUUAAUUAAUUAAACCUCAAUUACCAAUAUGUUAUACUUUAAUUUGACCCGUGUUAAAAUGAGGUAUAACAUCAUGCAUACAGGGAAGUAGACCAUGCGACCAACAUAUUGUGAGACCUAAGUGUUAUACAUCUGUUAGGAGUAUAUAACAUCUUGUCAAGUACAAACCUACAAGUAGAUCAUAAAGUAUACAGUACAACUAGAUCAUAUGAAUCACAUUUGAUAUAAUCUCAAAAUCUCAUAUAUCAUUAUUUCUUGUAUUCACAAUCUUGACUCAUAAUUUAUAUCUAGUGCACCAGUGAACACAAAUAAAUGAAAUUCCAUCAAUAAUCUUCCUCUUCUCAUAAUCCCUUCAACAUUAGUUUGACUGCUUUUCUAGAUAUUCUCCCUUAGACCAAAACUGUGUUCAGGUUCCUUUGGAAACUCACUAAGAUAGCUUAUAUCACACUAAGUCUCAAGUAUCUAAUUAGAGUCCUUGAGGGUAAAAAUCUUGAGCCUUCAUAAAAGCUCUAGGUCUCACACAACAAUUAGUUGCGAGUGGACUUAUAUUAACCCAAUUAGUCAAUAUUAGCACACAUGGUAUAAAACACGUGCUAUAGCAUUUUCUCCCUUUUUCCAAAGAGCUUAUGUGUUUAUCUGAUAAAGAAUUUGUACAAGUGAUAUUUGGACACUAUAAGUAUCUAAAUUUGAGUUUCUUAAUCUAAAAUAUCAUAUUUAACUCAUAUCUGGCUCACAGAGUAGACUAGGUGAACAUUUUUCACCCUAAUGACCUUAUGUCAUUGUUUAAGUAACAUUCUGAUUUUAAGUGAAUAGCUCUCAAAUUAUCCUUUUGAUAAUUUUUCUUAAAUUCAUGUCUCAUCUCCUCACAUCACUAAUAUAAGGAGGUGGUUGCCUGUGUGAAAGGCCAACCUCUUUUCUACCUAACAUACUUAUAAAAAAAUGUAGGAACAAAGAAUGCACAUAACAUUCAACAAUAUAAAUAUGUAUGUAUGAAAAUAAGCUUUACUGAUAAUCAAAGAAUAUCAGUUUUGUGAACACGGGAAAAUAAAUAAUGAAAUAAAGUAACGCAGAGUCUACGCAAGCCUUGAGACCUAAUAUGUCUCGAUCUCUAGACAAAGGCUUGGUCAAUAGAUCUACUAACAUAUUUUUUUGUAGACACAUACUUCACAUUCACUACCUUGCGUCUAACCAUGUCUUUCGCAUAUUUAUGUGUUUGGUUUUAUAAUGAAACUUAGGGUCCUUGGUAGAGGUUAUUGCAGCUUCAUUGAUAUAGUAGACUUACACUUGUUCAAUAUUUCUUACAAUAUCCAACAAGUGUUCCAAGAACAUUUUCAACCAAAAAACUUAUUAUGCUGCUGAUGCGAGAGCCACUUAUUCAGCUUCCUUUGUAGAUAGUGAUACAUGUACGCGUUGAAAUUAGAGGAUUUGAUUUCUCUCUCUCAAGUCAUUUCGCAAGAAUACCUCGAGACCCCAAGGAUAGGAAGCCACGGUCGAGUUCCCGACCUCGGGGAUCAUCGAGGCCCGACUCAAAAAGACAGAUAUCGAAGCCAGGACAGAGGGGGAAGCUCCCAAGGCACACGGUUGAGUCUGACAGGGGCGGCCUAACCAGAGCCUAUGCUGAGGCAUCGCAUCAAGCCAUCCCAUCUCCAAACUUUGUAAUUAAUGCCCACGUACUCGUAGCUGAGUUCCCCUCCUAUAUAAAGGGGACUCACCCUACUUUGUAAAGGGCUGAUGUUGCUCCAUUUUCUCCACAAAUGCAAUAAUAUCUCUCUCUUUCUUCUUUCUAACUUGCUUGUUCUCACUGGCCCGAUGCCACCUUAUAUCUAUCGUUCUCUUACUUGCUCUUCCUUAUAUAGCUCAGUAUUGGCUGUAAAUAGCCUUGUUUGAUUAUAUACUUAGUUGUUAUCCCAUUUCCGAUUAUCCUCGAUAGCUCGAACUCGACUCUGAGGUCCCCCAUCGACCAGACUUACACCC
This 16963-nucleotide long non-coding RNA is filed under the name Nicotiana tabacum (common tobacco). Its description in RNAcentral is "long non-coding RNA (NTAB_LNC014490)". The record is from RNAcentral. Lineage: Eukaryota; Viridiplantae; Streptophyta; Magnoliopsida; Solanales; Solanaceae.